Non-coding RNA from Mycena latifolia, 94 nucleotides. Lineage: Eukaryota; Fungi; Basidiomycota; Agaricomycetes; Agaricales; Mycenaceae. The record is from the annotation of a GenBank genome assembly.
GACCUGAUGGCACAACGGUUAGUGCGUCUGAAUUCAGUAUUCUCCUCGGAAGGUAUUUAUACAGAAGAUCCUCGUUCAACUCGGGGUCAGGUCA